Molecule: long non-coding RNA, 205 nt
Filed under: Elaeis guineensis (African oil palm)
Lineage: Eukaryota; Viridiplantae; Streptophyta; Magnoliopsida; Arecales; Arecaceae
Description: long non-coding RNA (EGUI_LNC078894)
Source: RNAcentral
UUGUCCAGGCUUAUGGGAUUCACUAUAAUCUUAAAAAAAUAAUAAGAUACAGCAUAUAAUGAAUUGAAAAGCCUAUUUUAUUAAAUAACAAUGUCAAUUAUAUGAGUUUGAAGUAAAUAAUAGAAAAAUAUCCCAUCGCAUCGCAUAUGCGAUUGACUUGUCGGGCAUUAUUCUUUCAGAGACUACCAUAAAAUGUUAUAUACAU